Acanthosepion pharaonis is the source of this 111-nucleotide non-coding RNA. The record is from the annotation of a GenBank genome assembly. NCBI's taxonomy places the organism in Eukaryota, Metazoa, Mollusca, Cephalopoda, Sepiida, Sepiidae.
CGGCUAUAAUACGUUGAAACACAGGUUCCCGUACGAUCACCGAAGUUAAGCAAUAUUGUUCCUGGUCAGCACCUAGAUGGGGGACCGAUUGGGAAUACUAGGUGUUGUAAG